This 443-nucleotide ribosomal RNA is filed under the name uncultured bacterium. RNAcentral's name for it is "partial 16S ribosomal RNA". It matches the Rfam family "Bacterial small subunit ribosomal RNA", at positions 338 to 795 of the family's 1533-position model. The record is from RNAcentral.
CCUACGGGGGGCUGCAGUGGGGAAUAUUGGGCAAUGGAGGAAACUCUGACCCAGCAACGCCGCGUGAAUGAUGAAGGUCUUCGGAUUGUAAAGUUCUUUUCUAAGGGAAGAAGAAAGUGACGGUACCUUAGGAAUAAGCCUCGGCUAACUACGUGCCAGCAGCCGCGGUAAUACGUAGGAGGCGAGCGUUAUCCGGAAUGACUGGGCGUAAAGGGUGCGUUGGUGGUUUGGCAAGUUAGUAGAGUAACUCCAAGGCUCAACCUUGGAACUACUACUAAAACUGUUGGACUUGAGUGCAGGAGGGGCAACCGGAAUGCCUAGUGUAGCGGUGGAAUGCGUAGAUAUUAGGAGGAACACCAGUGGCGAAGGCGGGUUGCUGGACUGUAACUGACACUGAGGCACGAAAGCGUGGGGAGCAAACAGGAUUAGAUACCCUAGUAGUC